UGUUCUAGAGUCUUCAUCUGGCAUUUUUCUGAGUGUCUCAUAUGCAAUUCCUUCACAAGUUGGGAGAGUGGCUGUGAAAACAAUUUGUGACUGAGCAGCAUAAAGCACCAGUGGCAGUACUAGUUACAGGAACAUUGGAGGAAGUAGUGAGAGUAGUUAAGUAUCUUGUGAUUCCAUGAGUUAUUCACAACUCCAAUUUGUACUUUAAAAGGCCCAGAAACAGAAGAUCUGGUCACUGCAUAGACUGUCUCAUCUCUCCUUUACCUCCAGAACAAAUCAUUUCCCUCAAAAUCUUACAUCUUAAUUCUAUGUGGAAAUGAGAUGAGCUAACAUUAACUCAUUUUCCAUUGUUUUGUAGCUUACUUACGGAGAGUGAAAAGAGUAAGAGUUGAAUUUGGUCAACAUAAAAGCUAUGGAAAAAAUUUAGAAAAUGAGCUAGGAUGUCAAUCAGUUCAGGUAUUGAGGCCUGACAAUGAGUUACAGCUUAUACUCAAAACCAAAACACACAGGGGCAUACAUCUCCAUGGCUCUAUGAUUUUCUUUAGCCAGACUUAGCAUUUUCUUCAGCCGGACUUCUGUUUCUACACUUAGCAGCUCCGGUAUAGAAAUAGAAAAUAUUUUUGUAGAAUUGGUACAUAGAUGGGAGUUUACAUGGAGAUAAAAACCAGGGGAGGGGCAAGUGAUAUGAAAAGUGAUCACUGUAAUGGAUCCAGGCUAGGGGUGGAAGGAAUUGAAAGUGGGAGAAAACUGAUAGAAGAAAAAUUGAAGUGUCAAAGGACUAGAAGUCUCAGUGAGAUCAAAUAGCAGAUCUAAUGAGCCUGAGGGGAAGCAGAUGGGAUAAGGAAAAAAUAGGAGCUUAUACCUGGAGGAAGACAGUGAAAUGUGUGACUUAAAGAAGAGUGGUGAGGUAGAGUGAAAGCAGGUAGAGAUGGGGAGACAGCCCAGGGUGAGGGGAUGGAAACAACUGGCUAAGGUUGAGAGGACUGGGAGGAAUUCAGUAUCUAGGAGGCUACAGUAUUUGACAGGUACAGGUGGAAAAUGGAGAGAUACCUGAACAGAGAAUGACACAGUACUAAAGAAGGUAGGGAAGUGCAAGGUUUUAGGGAUGGUAGGAGAACAGAAGAUACAUGUGUUAAUUUAGUGGGAGUAGAUAAUUUUUAGAAAUGAAGUUAGUAUAAUCCUCCCCCCUCCUCCUCUUCCUCCUCUUCUUCUGCAUCUUUGACAAUAAGUUGUAUGAGGAAAUAGUGAUUGGAAUUCCUGUUGUGGCUCAGCAGUAAUGAACCCAACUCGUAUCCAUGAGGACUUGGGUUCAAUCCCUGGCCUCACUCAGUGGGUUAAGGAUCCAGCGUUGCUGUGAGCUGUGAUCUUGCGAUGCAGUGGCUGUGGCAUAGGCUGGAAGCUGCAGCUCCAGUUUGACUCCUAGCCUGGGAACUUCCUUAUGCCGCAAAUCUCCCUAAACUAAAGAAAAAGCAGGUUAAAAUACAGAGCUGAGUACUGCUGUUAUUGUUCAAAAACUGGUGUGUGACUGGUUGGUCAGUUGUAUAACAUUCCUCAAAGUCACUUGUACAGAGAAUUCUUAGUGGAAAAAUUACCUCUACCCUCAAAGAAUAAGUUAUCUAUAAACUUUCUUCCCAUUAGGCUAUAUUCAUAAAUAUAGUUUAGUAUAUUACAGAGGAAAAAUUAUUAUAGUUUCUAAUAUACUGAUCUGGUGCCUCACGCCAUGAUGUUCCUAAACAAACAUAAAAUAUUUCAAGGACAGAGUUCCUGUCGUGGCUUAGUGGUUAAGGAACCUGACUAGCAUCCAUGAGGACGCGGGUUCGAUCCCUGGCCUCACUCAGUGGGUUAUGGAUCUGGCGUUGCCAUGAGCUGUGGUGUAGGUCGCAGAAGCAGCUCAGAUCGCGUGUUGCCAUGGUUCUGGCAUAGGCCGGAGGCUACAGCUCUGAUUCGAACCCCUAGCCUGGGAACCUCCAUAUGCCGCUGGUGUGGCCCUAAAAAGACAAAAAAAAAAAUAUUCCAAGGACAACUGAAGUUUAGUCUCUGUGGCCAAGAAAAGAGAAUUUAGAUAGUAUUAAAUCAGAUAGUACUUCCUAUUUUAUUCUCAUAUCAACACAUCUACAUAUCUAAAUAUAGCUAUCUAAAAUUUAUGAAAUAUAUUCAUAUUAAAUUGUAUAGAAAUAUAAAUAUUUUUAUGUAGGUGCACAUACAUUUACAUUGUAUAAUAAUACAUAAUAUACAAAUUUUUAUGUUAUAUAUUAUGUACUUAUAUUUUUAUACGCAUUAUAAAUAAAUAUGUAUACGCGCACACAAAUUGAUAGGAUUUUGACUGGAUUUAGCUUCUUAGCAUUAUCAUAUCCUUCCAGAAUCACAAAAUCAGUCAGAUGUAACAUGUUAGAUUUUAUUCUAGAUCUUAUUUUCUUAAAGUUUCAUAUUAUUAAUUUUGUUCUGUCUUUUAAGUUCCUUCAGGAACAGCAUAAUUCAUUUCUUCCCUUAGGAGCAGAGUAAGCUAUAGAAAUGUUGAAAUUUGCCCCCCUUCCAUCCACAAGGGUAAUACAUACAUUCAGACGGGUGAGCUCUGGGCCUCUACUCUACCACUGGAGGCCCAUAACAAUAAUGGCUCUCUGAAAAUGAGUUGACAUUUCAAUUUGGCCCAAUUUCACCCUAAAGUUAACAAUUCUGUGUUCACAUUUCAAAAAGCUUUGAGGUACUGCCGAAGAUGGAGUCUGAUAAGCAAAUUUUUGUAUAGUUCUGCUCGGUCUCUCAUUUUUCUUUUUCUCUUUUCAUUUUAAAUAAUGAAAGCAGUAAGACUCGAAAGGUCAGAUGCUUUAAGUUUUGUCAGGCAGUUUGGGAUUUCUCCAGUGAACAAUACAUCCCAAUUCUCAGGAUUGUCAAAUCUGCAGCUUAGUCGGUCACUAGAACCAGGACAGAUGGGAUCCCCCAGGAGGGUUGGCCCACUUCCCUUCUUAGUGCACACAAUUAAAACUUGAAACUGUAGAUUUUCCCAACCUC
Molecule: long non-coding RNA, 3006 nt
Filed under: Sus scrofa (pig)
Lineage: Eukaryota; Metazoa; Chordata; Mammalia; Artiodactyla; Suidae
Description: lncRNA (ENSSSCG00000059443.1)
Source: RNAcentral